RNAcentral lists this ribosomal RNA (551 nucleotides) under uncultured fungus. RNAcentral describes it as "eukaryotic LSU rRNA". The stretch from base 186 to 339 matches the Rfam family "5.8S ribosomal RNA". Lineage: Eukaryota; Fungi. The record is from RNAcentral.
AAGUCGUAACAAGGUCUCCGUUGGUGAACCAGCGGAGGGAUCAUUACUGAGUACUACACUCUCUACCCUUUGUGAACUAUUAUACCUGUUGCUUCGGCGGCGCCCGCAAGGGUGCCCGCCGGUCUCAUCAGAAUCUCUGUUUUCGAACCCGACGAUACUUCUGAGUGUUCUUAGCGAACUGUCAAAACUUUUAACAACGGAUCUCUUGGCUCCAGCAUCGAUGAAGAACGCAGCGAAACGCGAUAUGUAAUGUGAAUUGCAGAAUUCAGUGAAUCAUCGAAUCUUUGAACGCACAUGGCGCCUUCCAGUAUCCUGGGAGGCAUGCCUGUCCGAGCGUCGUUUCAACCCUCGAGCCCCUGUGGCCCGGCGUUGGGGAUCUGCCACGGCAGGCCCCUAAAACCAGUGGCGGACCCGAAGGGCCCUCUCCUUUGCGCAGUAGCAAUCGCCUCGCAUCGGGAGUCCUCGGCGUCCUGCCUCUAAACCCCCCACAAGCCCGCUUCGGCGGCACCAAGGUUGACCUCGGAUCAGGUAGGAAUACCCGCUGAACUUAA